Molecule: transfer RNA, 86 nt
Filed under: Coriobacteriaceae bacterium
Lineage: Bacteria; Bacillati; Actinomycetota; Coriobacteriia; Coriobacteriales; Coriobacteriaceae
Also listed under: 1 other name
Description: tRNA-Leu
Rfam family: tRNA
About the family: Transfer RNA (tRNA) molecules are approximately 80 nucleotides in length. Their secondary structure includes four short double-helical elements and three loops (D, anti-codon, and T loops). Further hydrogen bonds mediate the characteristic L-shaped molecular structure. tRNAs have two regions of fundamental functional importance: the anti-codon, which is responsible for specific mRNA codon recognition, and the 3' end, to which the tRNAs corresponding amino acid is attached (by aminoacyl-tRNA synthetases). tRNAs cope with the degeneracy of the genetic code in two manners: having more than one tRNA (with a specific anti-codon) for a particular amino acid; and 'wobble' base-pairing, i.e. permitting non-standard base-pairing at the 3rd anti-codon position.
Source: RNAcentral
GGGGGCGUGGCGGAACUGGCAGACGCAGUGGACUUAAAAUCCACCGGCCUUUGGUCAUCAGGGUUCGAAUCCCUGCGCCCCUACCA